UUGACAGCCCUGGAAACUGAAGUCUUCUCUUUAUCCACAAACUGCAGGCACAACACAAACAGCUUCCCUCUUUUUGAUAUUUCAGUGCGUCUCAAGAUUGAUUUUUGGGGGAAGCACAUAUAGGAGGAAUUUCCUUCCAGUAUCCCACCUUUGUGUUGAGACUGCC
RNAcentral lists this small RNA (166 nucleotides) under Sphenodon punctatus (tuatara). RNAcentral's name for it is "TUC338 (ENSSPUG00000013104.1)". Lineage: Eukaryota; Metazoa; Chordata; Lepidosauria; Sphenodontia; Sphenodontidae. The record is from RNAcentral.